RNAcentral lists this small nucleolar RNA (64 nucleotides) under Myotis lucifugus (little brown bat). RNAcentral describes it as "U8 small nucleolar RNA (ENSMLUG00000021530.1)". Lineage: Eukaryota; Metazoa; Chordata; Mammalia; Chiroptera; Vespertilionidae. The record is from RNAcentral.
CAGUCAGGUAGGAUAAUCCUUACCUGUUCCUCCUUUUGGAGGGCAGAUUGUUAGCAUCUCUGCA